CUUCUCUGGCGAAAAAAUAGAUGACUUGGCAAAGCAGCCUCCAGAUGGCCCCAGAAUGCAGGCUCCCUUCUGGAGGUGCUUGGAUGGGAGUUGCUGUUGCUUCUAGCAAGCCAGAUUUGACAUGUGGCCACAGUCACAUGCUAGCCCUAGGCUAGCUUCCUGGAGCCCAGUUGCAAGGUUGGGGAUGGAGAGUUCAUUCUCUGAGCAAGCUGCACUCACAGGAUAGCUGUGGUCCCCACAAGGGAAACAAACUAAUCCAAACAAAAGAUGAAAAUAAACUAAGGAGCAACCACUACAAACAUGCUGAACCUGAGAGAGCUGCAGAAUGGACCACAUGAAGCUUCGAAUCCUCUCGCUCCUUGUCAAAAGAGCAAGCAGCGUGUUGGAAAAGUGUCUGAUUAAAGAUACUGAUACAAUGUGACCAGCUGCCACAACCUCCUGAUACUGAGGCUUCCUUGCCACGAGGGACUGGCCCCACAGACUGUGAGCAAAGAUGAGAUCCUCCUUCCUUGCUUAGAUUCCUUUUAUCAGAUACGUUAUCAGAGCCUCAAGGCCAGUCUUUCCAUGGUCUCUCCAUGUGAAACUCAUCAGGGAUGAGACUUGAAGUUGGUUGUCACCAUCACAAAGUAAACAAGCUACCCAGAGCUUACUGGAAAUGCAUGCUUUCACCUUUCUAGAGUCUUCAUCCAGUAGCUGUUGGAAGCAGAAGCAGAAAUUCACAGCCAAGCACUGAGCAGAACUCCUGGAAUCCAGCUGCCAAGAGGGAGGAGUGAUGAGCAGAGUGAAGACCAUGUUGGGGAAACCCACAGAAACAGCUGACCUGAGCAAGUGGAAGCUUAUUGACUCCAGUGUGACAGCUGAGGAACCACCAGAAAACCAAACCAGGACCUCUGAACUUGGGUAUCAGUAGGGGGGCCUGGGUAGUCUAUGGAGCCUCUUGUAAUGGAAUCAGUAUUUAUCCUUAGAGCAUGAAUGGGCUUUUAGAUCCCAAUCCCCGUGAAUGGAUACUCUCUCAGCCUAGAUACAGGGGGGAAGGCAUAGAUCCUGCCCCAAAUGAUGUGACAGAAUUUGAUGAUCCCCCAUGGGAGGCCACACACUCCCUGAGGAGUGGAUGGGGCGUUGUCGAGGGAGAAGGAACUGGGAC
RNAcentral lists this long non-coding RNA (1144 nucleotides) under Cricetulus griseus (Chinese hamster). RNAcentral's name for it is "lncRNA (ENSCGRG00015038845.1)". The record is from RNAcentral. Lineage: Eukaryota; Metazoa; Chordata; Mammalia; Rodentia; Cricetidae.